CCCUUAGAUGUCCUGGGCCGCACGCGCGCUACACUGAGUGUCUGAGAUACGAGUCUGCCUGGUCCGGCAAGGUCUAGGUAAUCGCUAAAAGACACAUCAUGCUUGGGAUAGAUUAUUGCAAGUAUUAAUCUUGAACGAGGAAUUCCUAGUAAGCGCAAGUCAACAGCUUGCGUUGAUUACGUCCCUGCCCUUUGUACACACCGCCCGUCGCUACUACUGAUUGGAUGUUUAAGCGAGGUUCUCGAACUGCUAGCGACUUAGCUUCGGUGAGGUCGCAGUGUGGGAAGUGAACCUAGCUUUGGUGUCUAGAGGAAGUAAAAGUCGUAACA
RNAcentral lists this ribosomal RNA (329 nucleotides) under uncultured eukaryote. RNAcentral's name for it is "partial 18S ribosomal RNA". It matches the Rfam family "Eukaryotic small subunit ribosomal RNA", at positions 1470 to 1796 of the family's 1831-position model. The record is from RNAcentral.